GCUGGGCAUGGUGGCGUGUGCCUGUAGUCCUAGCUACUUGGGAGGCUGAGGCAGGAGAAUUGCUUGAACCCUGUAGGUGUAGGUUGCAGUGAGCCAAGAUCGAGCACUGCACUCCAGCCUGGGUGACAGAGCGAGACCCUGUCUCUC
This is a non-coding RNA of Gorilla gorilla gorilla (western lowland gorilla), 147 nucleotides long. It matches the Rfam family "Metazoan signal recognition particle RNA". Rfam says of the family: The signal recognition particle (SRP) is a universally conserved ribonucleoprotein. It is involved in the co-translational targeting of proteins to membranes. NCBI's taxonomy places the organism in Eukaryota, Metazoa, Chordata, Mammalia, Primates, Hominidae. The record is from Rfam.